GGCUGGUUGGCUACGUACGGGAGGGAUAACCGCUGAAAGCAUCUAAGCGGGAAGCCUGUUUUGAGAUGAGGUUUCUUUUGAGGUUCCCUCUAGACUAGGGGGUUGAUAGGCCAGAUCUGGAAGCGUAGUAAUGCGUUAAGGUGACUGGUACUAAUUUUACCGAGUAAUAACA
This 172-nucleotide ribosomal RNA is filed under the name Corynebacterium diphtheriae. RNAcentral's name for it is "partial 23S ribosomal RNA". It matches the Rfam family "Bacterial large subunit ribosomal RNA", at positions 2739 to 2925 of the family's 2925-position model. The record is from RNAcentral. Lineage: Bacteria; Bacillati; Actinomycetota; Actinomycetes; Mycobacteriales; Corynebacteriaceae.